GAUGAACGCUGGCGGCAUGCCUUACACAUGCAAGUCGAACGGCAGCACGGAGCUUGCUCUGGUGGCGAGUGGCGAACGGGUGAGUAAUAUAUCGGAACGUACCCAAGAGUGGGGGAUAACGUAGCGAAAGUUACGCUAAUACCGCAUACGAUCUAAGGAUGAAAGCAGGGGAUCGCAAGACCUUGUGCUCCUGGAGCGGCCGAUAUCUGAUUAGCUAGUUGGUGAGGUAAAGGCUCACCAAGGCAACGAUCAGUAGCUGGUCUGAGAGGACGACCAGCCACACUGGAACUGAGACACGGUCCAGACUCCUACGGGAGGCAGCAGUGGGGAAUUUUGGACAAUGGGGGCAACCCUGAUCCAGCAAUGCCGCGUGAGUGAAGAAGGCCUUCGGGUUGUAAAGCUCUUUUGUCAGGGAAGAAAAGGUCGUGGCUAAUAUCCACGACUGCUGACGGUACCUGAAGAAUAAGCACCGGCUAACUACGUGCCAGCCGCCGCCGUAA
RNAcentral lists this ribosomal RNA (500 nucleotides) under uncultured bacterium. RNAcentral describes it as "partial 16S ribosomal RNA". It matches the Rfam family "Bacterial small subunit ribosomal RNA", at positions 28 to 523 of the family's 1533-position model. The record is from RNAcentral.